UAGUAGGUUGGCCCAAAAGUAAUCGCGGUUUUUGCCAUCACUUUUAAAUGGUAAAAACUGAGAUUACUUUUGCACCAACCCGAUA
RNAcentral lists this microRNA precursor (85 nucleotides) under Chlorocebus sabaeus (green monkey). RNAcentral describes it as "miRNA (ENSCSAG00000023904.1)". The record is from RNAcentral. Lineage: Eukaryota; Metazoa; Chordata; Mammalia; Primates; Cercopithecidae.